GUGGGGAAUAUUGGACAAUGGGGGGAACCCUGAUCCAGCCAUGCCGCGUGUGUGAAGAAGGCCUUUUGGUUGUAAAGCACUUUAAGCGAGGAGGAGGCUUACCUAGUUAAUACCUGGGAUAAGUGGACGUUACUCGCAGAAUAAGCACCGGCUAACUCUGUGCCAGCAGCCGCGGUAAUACAGAGGGUGCGAGCGUUAAUCGGAUUUACUGGGCGUAAAGCGUGCGUAGGCGGCUUUUUAAGUCGGAUGUGAAAUCCCCGAGCUUAACUUGGGAAUUGCAUUCGAUACUGGGAAGCUAGAGUAUGGGAGAGGAUGGUAGAAUUCCAGGUGUAGCGGUGAAAUGCGUAGAGAUCUGGAGGAAUACCGAUGGCGAAGGCAGCCAUCUGGCCUAAUACUGACGCUGAGGUACGAAAGCAUGGGGAGCAAACAGGAUUAGAUACCCGUGUAGUCC
This 451-nucleotide ribosomal RNA is filed under the name uncultured bacterium. Its description in RNAcentral is "bacterial SSU rRNA". It matches the Rfam family "Bacterial small subunit ribosomal RNA", at positions 354 to 796 of the family's 1533-position model. The record is from RNAcentral.